Molecule: transfer RNA, 68 nt
Filed under: Sirembo imberbis (golden cusk)
Lineage: Eukaryota; Metazoa; Chordata; Actinopteri; Ophidiiformes; Ophidiidae
Description: tRNA-Ser
Source: RNAcentral
AAGAAGGGCAGGACUGCAACGAAUACUGCUAAUUUUCGUGACCAUGGUUUGACUCCGCGGCCUACUUG